AAAGCGAAGGUACUACUUAAAGUUAAAAUAUUCAUGUGGUAUCUCCGUAGGAGAGUUGUGCUAACAAAAAACAACCUCACAUGACGCAACUGGUCGGGAAGUAAAAAGUGUUCUUUUUGUACUCAUGUCGAGGCAAUUAAACACCUAUUUUUCCAAUGUAAGUUUGCGCGUUCUACGCGGUCAGCCAUCUAA
This 192-nucleotide ribosomal RNA is filed under the name Triticum aestivum (bread wheat). Its description in RNAcentral is "partial small subunit ribosomal RNA". Lineage: Eukaryota; Viridiplantae; Streptophyta; Magnoliopsida; Poales; Poaceae. The record is from RNAcentral.